GGGGAGUAGUUAAGUGGUAUAACAGCGGUCUCCAAAACCGUUAUCGAGAGUUCGAUUCUUUCCUCCCC
RNAcentral lists this transfer RNA (68 nucleotides) under chicken gut metagenome. It matches the Rfam family "tRNA". Rfam says of the family: Transfer RNA (tRNA) molecules are approximately 80 nucleotides in length. Their secondary structure includes four short double-helical elements and three loops (D, anti-codon, and T loops). The record is from RNAcentral.